This 886-nucleotide long non-coding RNA is filed under the name Homo sapiens (human). Its description in RNAcentral is "HSALNT0309739". Lineage: Eukaryota; Metazoa; Chordata; Mammalia; Primates; Hominidae. The record is from RNAcentral.
ACGUGUUCUGAAUGGCUGUUUUGUGUGGUGGGGGAUAGUUCUUUGCAGAUUCAGAAUCUAGAUGACUACUAACGAGCGUGAAGCGCCUGGUGGUUUUGGAAGUAAGCCUUCCCAGACUUCAGAACCCACGGUCACCUGGUGCCAUCGCAGGACCUGCUGGUCACAUCAGAGCUUCCUGCUGCAAGUGGGGCCGGGAGCCUGGGCCUCUGAUGCCCACAUGGACCCAUCCAGGACUUGGCCCACCCACUGAGCAAACCCAGGCAUCUCUUCCUGGUUUCAACGAGUCAUGCACCCACCUCGAAGACUCCUCCCUCUUUUGUCCUCUCGCGGAGCCCAGUCACAAGAGAGUUCAAAGAAAUCGGCAGGUCAGUCAGUGGGUGGGCAGGUAGAGACUCUCAAGAUUAAUCAGAGAAAUCGCCCACUGAAUGGGUGCUCUUAGGUCUGUGCCAAGGGCUUCUGUAACAAACUGCCCUGACCUGGGGUCUUAAACAACAGAAAUGCAUUUCCUCACAGUCCUGGAGACCAGCCAGUCCAAAGCCAAGGUGUCCACAGGGCCACGCUCUUCCCACAGCCUCUAGGAGAGAACUGGUUCCUUGCUUCUCAUCCAGUUUCUGGAGAUGCUGCCACCCUUGUGGUCCUAGGCUUGGCGACAUGUCCACCCUCGUGGUCCUAGGCUUGGUGACGUGUCCACCCUCAUGGUCCUAGGCUUAGGUAUGUGUUGCUCCACCCUGCGCCUCUGUCUUCACGUCACCUUCCCUUCUCUGCAUCUGUCUCCUUCUCUUUAUGAAGCCUCCUGUCAUUGGAUUUAGAGCCCACCCUAAUCCAGGAAGAUCUCAUCUCAAGAUUCUUAAUUGCAUCUGCAAAGACCCUUUUUCCGAACAAGAUC